RNAcentral lists this ribosomal RNA (245 nucleotides) under uncultured bacterium. Its description in RNAcentral is "partial 16S ribosomal RNA". It matches the Rfam family "Bacterial small subunit ribosomal RNA", at positions 524 to 760 of the family's 1533-position model. The record is from RNAcentral.
UACAGAGGGUGGCGAGCGUUGUCCGGAAUCACUGGGCGUAAAGGGCGCGUAGGUGGGCGACCCAAGUCUGUGGUGAAAGCUACCGGACGCUCAACGUCGAGUUCGGCCAUAGAUACUGGGUUGCUUGAGCACUGUAGAGGCAGAUGGAAUUCCGGGUGUAGCGGUGGAAUGCGUAGAGAGUCCGGAAGAACACCGGUGGCGAAGGCGGUCUGCUGGGCAGUUGCUGACACUGAGGCGCGGACAGC